Molecule: long non-coding RNA, 1428 nt
Organism: Oncorhynchus tshawytscha (Chinook salmon)
Lineage: Eukaryota; Metazoa; Chordata; Actinopteri; Salmoniformes; Salmonidae
Exons: 3
Source: RefSeq, a predicted model, not a curated record
CUUCCGACUUCAACUUUAGCUAUACUGGUGUCUGCAUAUUUUAAACUUUAAACUGUAAUUCUCCUUUUGCUGUCUGUCUACCAGUUGUGUAAAUAUGAAUAUACAUUUAGUUCGUAAAUAAUAAUACCAGCUUUGUUCGCACUUGAGAUGUUAAUGAAUUACAGCACAUAAAUAACAACAUUUGAGUGUUAACUGUGGAUGCUUUGCCUUUUGCUUUUCACAAUGUAACGCAGUCCCCACAAUAAUGACAAUCAACCAUCCACAAUGUGUACCAAUUUACUUCUGCCAGGUGUGAAUCUACUAUAUAUUUUUGAUUAUGUCUCACAGUAUAUGAUCACACAUUUUGUGACUUUUUUUCUAAGUUAACAUACAAUAAUGUUUAUGUUCAACCAAAUAGAAAAAUGAUUUUGAGCAAAGAGAGGGAUGCGGCACGGGUGGCAUUUGAGGAGGCUCUUCGAGAAAGCUAUCGCACAGCAUUACAAUUUCAACAUGAUCAGAAGGAGCGAGCUGCAAAGUGACAGUCACCUGCUCCUGCCACUAGCCUUGCCCCUGUCCAAUGGAUAGAGAGGGACAGCAGAGCCAACAAAAUUCACAAAAGACCUGGACAUAAAAGCUACAAGAAGACCUCAAGACAUGUCACAGUGAAGGACAUGGACCUUACCGGAACAGGUGACCAUAUUGCAGCUAAUGGCGUGGGUGAGUACCACCUUAAAUAGACCUUGACCCUGGGGCAUCUGACCCUAAAACAGGGUCCCCCCCCCCCAGAAGUUAUUUGUUUUUGUUUUAACCCUAAAUAACCACCCCUGCAUUAAUUAAUCAAAGGCUUGAUGAUUAAUUUACUAAUUGAACCAUGUGUGUCAGUUAAGGGCUAAAACAAAAAUGUGAAACGUCCGGAGGGGCCGAGGAGAGAUCUCCCUUCAGGGAUUUCUUAAUAGACAAGGCUAGGAUCGUUACACUACUCCCUCUGUUCAGAAAACACAACCUGUGCUUCUCUAUCACAAAUCCCUCACGCCUGAACAGGACAUGCUUUUGACCCUCAUACAGUAUCCUACUUCUGCACAUCAGAGUAGCAAAUGGUAGGAGAAGGCAUCGUUCAACUUGUCAGACAGCAUGACUACCUUGUAAGGACAUGUCCAACUAGUACUAAAUGCAGUUUUUAGCUGUCUCACUGGCUUUCAUUUUAAUGUUGGGUUAAAUACAAAGUGGUGCCUUAAAACAUUCAAAUCCUCAGACCGAUUGAAUGUAACCUAAGCCUCUGUCUUGCAGGCAUGUAUUGACAAUAGAUUCAAAGUGCUAUAUUACUCCCAAAUUAAGAAGAACCACUGCGAAUGUACAUUAAAACCGCAUAGUUAUGUACAUGUCAUUUAAUGACACAUAUAUAUAUAUAAUAUAAUGGUGUACAGUAUAUCAUAAUUUUAUGACAUAUAC